Molecule: transfer RNA, 72 nt
Organism: Ovis aries (sheep)
Lineage: Eukaryota; Metazoa; Chordata; Mammalia; Artiodactyla; Bovidae
Rfam family: tRNA
About the family: Transfer RNA (tRNA) molecules are approximately 80 nucleotides in length. Their secondary structure includes four short double-helical elements and three loops (D, anti-codon, and T loops).
Source: Rfam
UCCCUGGUGGCUCAGACAGUAAAGAAUCUGCCUGCAAUGCAGGAGACCCAGGUUUGAUCCCUGGGUUGGGAA